Molecule: long non-coding RNA, 2555 nt
Filed under: Ananas comosus (pineapple)
Lineage: Eukaryota; Viridiplantae; Streptophyta; Magnoliopsida; Poales; Bromeliaceae
Description: long non-coding RNA (ACOM_LNC032873)
Source: RNAcentral
CAUCUAAUCUUAGAUCCAAGGCUCGGGUUAUUAUAUUCUUAUGAGUAUAGACCCCCUUUUAUUCAUAAAUUUUUAACUGUUGAUUGAUAGGAUGUGUGGUUAGGAUGAUGGUGGUCCCCACUUAUAAUGAUAGUAGUCCUCUAGGGUUGAGUGGUUAGUUGGUUGAAUAGUAUAAUCUAACGGAUGGAAUGAUCAAUAGAAUAAAUCUUAGGGCCGAAAACUUAUGAGUAUAAAGGAAUCAAUACUCAUAAAAGUAUAGUAGCCAGACUCAUAUAUAUAUAUAUAUAUAGAGAGAGAGAGAGCAGGGCUGCUGUGCUCUCAGGAGCACAGAGCCCUCCGUGCUCCUGAGCCAUUUUCGAUGAUGGGACUCCAGAAUCGACGAUCGGCUCGGCUAAACUUGAUCUAGCAUAUUUGAAGUAUCUAGAAAAUAAAUUGUGAUUUUUCGAUAUCGUUUACUUAGUGAUCGAAAGGGUUUAAAAUCAACGACUGAAAAUAAAAAUCUCAUAAAAAGUGGUAAUAUAGUACUAAAAUUUUUAAUCAGAGAUAAACUUGCUGUAGAUAAUAUAAAGAAUUUUCUAUUAGAAUUUCAUCGAUUUGGAUACUUCUAUGCCGUUAAACUUGAAACGGCAGAUAUCGACCAUUAAAAAUUGUUGAUUUUGAAUCUUUUCAAUCACUAGGUAAACGAUAUCGAAAAAUCGCAAAAUUUAUUUUCUACAUACUUCAAAUAUGCUAAAUCAUGUCUAGCGGAGCCGAUCGUUGAUUCGGGAGUCACAUUAUCGAAAACAGCUAGGAGCACGGAGGGCUCUGUGCUCCUCAGAGCACACAAGACCUACUAUAUAUAUAUAUAUAUAUAUAUAUAUAUAAUUGAGCUAGAAUACUUUUAGAAGCACCAACCCCUUGGUGCUUCUAAGUUUCUAGCCCUUGGAUCCAUUCCUUUAUUACUAAUAGCCUUUAAAUCAAACAUUAUUCCACCUACCACCACCUAUCACCAUCAUCUCAACCCUAUAUCUCUCCAUCCAAUAGCUAAAAACUCAAAAGCACCACCACCUUGGUGCUUUUGANGGUAGAUCUAACGGCAGAAAACUUGGUAGCACCAAGUACUUCGUGCUAUUAAUAGCAUAGUAGCUGGACUCUAUAGAUAUAUAUAUAGAAUUGAGCUAGAAUACUUUUAGAAGCACCAACCCCUUGGUGCUUCUAAGUUUCUAGCCCUUGGAUCCAUUCCUUUAUUACUAAUAGCCUUUAAAUCAAACAUUAUUCCAUCUACCACCACCUACUACAAUCAUCUCAACCCUACAUCUCUCCAUUCAAUAGCUAAAAACUCAAAAGCACCACCCCCUUGGUACUUUUAGAAGUAUUCUAGCUCAACUCUCUCUCUCUCUCUCUCUCUCUCUCUAUAUAUAUAUAUAUAUAUAUAUAUAUAUAUAGAGCUAAGCUACUAUACUAUCUGUAGUACCGAAGCUCCGGUACUAUAGUGUUGUUUUCGAUCUUCGGGCAUUCAAAUCAACGAUCCACACCGUUAAAUAUGAUCUAGGGUAUAUGAAGUUUUUAGGAAUAAAAGUUUAGUUUUUUUCGAUAUCGUUUAUUUAGUAAAUAAAUUAUGUCAAAAUGGACGGUGAAAAUUGAAUGCUCUUUAAAAUUUGAGUAUAGAACUUUUAAAUUCAAGAUCAAGAAUGUUAACCUUAAUCUAUAUAGUUUAAAGUAUUUUCUAUCAAAAUUUGAAGAAAUCUAGAUUUUUCUACACCGUUAAACUCCAAACUCGUCGUAAUAGCCAUUGAAAAUUGACAAUUUUGAAAUGGCUUGAUCAUAAAGUAAACCAUGUCGAAAAAAUAUAAAAUUUUAUUUCUAGAAACUUUAAAUACCCUAGAUCAUAUUUAACGGUGUGGAUCGUUGAUUUGAACGCCCGAAGAUCGAAAACAACACUAUAGUACCGGAGCUCCGGUACUAUAGAUGGUAUAGUAGCCUAAUUCUAUAUAUAUAUAUAUAUAUAUAGAGUUAGGCUGGUAUACUAUCGAUAGCACAGAAGUCUCCGUGCUACCAAGUUGUUUUCAAUGAUGCGACUUCCAAAUCGACAAUCGGCUCUGUUAAACUUGAUCUAUACUAUUAAAAGUAUUUGGUCAUAAUUUUUUGAUAUCAUUUGGCUAGUGAUCAAAAGGUCUCAAAAUUGACAAUUUUAAUGGUAGAUACGAUGCGUUUGUGAAUUUAACGGUGUAAAACAAUCCAAAUAUGAUGAAAUUUUUAUAGAAAAUUUUUUUCACUAUUUAGAGUAAGAUCAGUACCUCUAAUCUUAAAUUCAAGACUUUUAUCAUCAUUUUUUAUGAAAUUUUUAUUUUUGACCAUUCAUUUUUAGACUACUCCUUUAAUUGGUAAAUAAUGCCAAAAAAUUAUAAAAUUUAAUUUCCAAAUACUUUAAAUAGUAUAGAUCAAGUCCAACGGAGCCAAUCGUCGAUUUGGAAGCCGUAUCAGUGAAAACAACUUAGUAGCACUGAGACCUCCAUGCUACCGAUAGUAUACCAGUCUAGCUCUCUCUCUCUCUCUCUCUAUAUAUAUAUAUUUAU